UACGGGGGGUGCAAGCGUUAUUCGGAAUCAUUGGGCGUAAAGGGCGCGUAGGCGGCCUGGUGAGUCAGAUGUGAAAUCCCGGGGCUCAACCCCGGAAGUGCAUUUGAUACUGCUAGGCUUGAGUAUGGGAGAGGGAAGUGGAAUUCCUGGUGUAGAGGUGAAAUUCGUAGGUAUCAGGAGGAACACCGGUGGCGAAGGCGACUUCCUGGACCAAUACUGACGCUGAGGCGCGAAGGCGUGGGGAGCAAACAGG
RNAcentral lists this ribosomal RNA (253 nucleotides) under uncultured bacterium. RNAcentral describes it as "partial 16S ribosomal RNA". It matches the Rfam family "Bacterial small subunit ribosomal RNA", at positions 524 to 776 of the family's 1533-position model. The record is from RNAcentral.